GAGACAGCCGAGGCUGGUCGGAGACAGCCGAGCACGGCCGUCGGAGGCUCACGAAAACACUAGAAAGCGGAAGGGUCGGGAACGCAUUCGGUCCGAAGCUGGGCUCGGUGGACUUGGGACUCUGAGAUACCCGAGCCAUUCCGGAAGCAGCAGAACGUGCCAUAACAGGGGUUUGUUUGUGUUUUUUACGAAGUCGUGAACCUGCCAGACCGCGGAAUGUGUCUGGGAGGAACCGAACGACCUCAACUCCAGGCCUUGGGAGUUGACUCGGAGGCCGCCGAUAGCUUCCGGAAAUUGCCGAAGGUCCACUGGACGAGCUCGGCAGCUGUACCCUCAAUGGAGAGCCGCUGGUGGAAGGAAUGGAAGGCGAAGGCACUGCCAUGACAACCCUAGGCGUCCGGAAACAGCCGAAGUGUCUCCGGCCCAACACGCGCGAGAAUGCGGCUUAUCAGCGUCCGGAAGCGAGAUUGUUUCCGGAAAUACGGACAGACUCUGGCGAGACGGAGAGAACCAGAAGUUGCCGAGCUUGUUCGGCUGAUUUCCGAGGGAUUCAUUUAUCUAUUUUAGCUCACCGCAAAGACUAGGGUAGAAAAUUGGGACGGAGGGGUUGCAGCGAGAGUUCGGCAGUUAAGCAUGCUCACUGCUCUUGCACAGGAUCCAGGUUCAGUAAAUUACAGCCGCGUAUAACCCGACUGGAAUUAAAAGCAAGAGCUAUGACGCCCAGCGUUUUGGAUUUUUCCUUUUU
This is a long non-coding RNA of Mus musculus (house mouse), 745 nucleotides long. RefSeq annotates it as RIKEN cDNA 2010320M18 gene. The transcript has a single exon. NCBI's taxonomy places the organism in Eukaryota, Metazoa, Chordata, Mammalia, Rodentia, Muridae. The record is from RefSeq and is marked validated.